Molecule: long non-coding RNA, 312 nt
Organism: Camelus dromedarius (Arabian camel)
Lineage: Eukaryota; Metazoa; Chordata; Mammalia; Artiodactyla; Camelidae
Exons: 2
Source: RefSeq, a predicted model, not a curated record
GGGUUCCCGGACCCCCGGGGCCGAGCUGGGCGCGGGAGACCCGCAGGGGCUGAGAGGCCGGCCGAGCCUGAAGAAGUGGAGGAGAGGUCUACACAACUUCAGUGGGGUGACCCCAUCCCUGCUGCUUGUUCACCCUCCUUUGCCCUCAACUGCAUCUCUGAGACAUCCUGCCCCCCGCCCCCCCAAAAAGAAGUCACUACAGGGCUCUGUCUGCAGAGAGCCAGGGUGAGAGCGGGCAAGGCAAGAGAGCGACCUCAGUCGUGGGCAAGUAGCUUGUUUUUACGUCCUUCAAUAAAAAUUUUAUGAGGAUCA